Molecule: ribosomal RNA, 770 nt
Filed under: uncultured organism
Description: SSU rRNA
Rfam family: Bacterial small subunit ribosomal RNA
Source: RNAcentral
GGUGAAAUGCUUAGAUAUCACGAAGAACUCCGAUUGCGAAGGCAGCCUGCUAAGCUGCAACUGACAUUGAGGCUCGAAAGUGUGGGUAUCAAACAGGAUUAGAUACCGUGGUAGUCCACACGGUAAACGAUGAAUACUCGCUGUUUGCGAUAUACAGCAAGCGGCCAAGCGAAAGCGUUAAGUAUUCCACCUGGGGAGUACGCCGGCAACGGUGAAACUCAAAGGAAUUGACGGGGGCCCGCACAAGCGGAGGAACAUGUGGUUUAAUUCGAUGAUACGCGAGGAACCUUACCCGGACUUAAAUUGCAGAUGAAUUACGGUGAAAGCCGUAAGCCGCAAGGCAUCUGUGAAGGUGCUGCAUGGUUGUCGUCAGCUCGUGCCGUGAGGUGUCGGCUUAAGUGCCAUAACGAGCGCAACCCUUGUUGUCGGUUACUAACAGGUUCCGCUGAGGACUCUGACAAGACUGCCAUCGUAAGAUGUGAGGAAGGUGGGGAUGACGUCAAAUCAGCACGGCCCUUACGUCCGGGGCUACACACGUGUUACAAUGGGGGGUACAGAGGGCCGCUACCACGCGAGUGGAUGCCAAUCCCAAAAACCUCUCUCAGUUCGGACUGGAGUCUGCAACCCGACUCCACGAAGCUGGAUUCGCUAGUAAUCGCGCAUCAGCCACGGCGCGGUGAAUACGUUCCCGGGCCUUGUACACACCGCCCGUCAAGCCAUGGGAGCCGGGGGUACCUGAAGUGCGUAACCGCGAGGAGCGCCCUAGGGUA